AGUUUGAUCCUGGCUCAGAUUGAACGCUGGCGGUAACUUUUAAACAUGCAAGUCGAGCGGUAACAGACAUAAAGAUUCAGCUUGCUGAAUCCGGUGCUGACGAGCGGCGAACGGGUGAGUAACGCGUAGGAAUCUACCCAGUAGCGGGGGAUAGCCCGAGGAAACUCGGAUUAAUACCGCAUACGCCCUGAGGGGGAAAGGGGGCAGUUUACUGCUCUCACUAUUGGAUGAGCCUGCGUAAGAUUAGCUUGUUGGUGGGGUAAUGGCCUACCAAGGCGACGAUCUUUAGCUGGUCUGAGAGGACGAUCAGCCACAUUGGGACUGAGACACGGCCCAGACAUCUACGGAUGGCAGCAGUUAAGAAUAUUGGACAAUGGGGGCAACCCUGAUCCAGGUAUACCGCGUGUGUGAAGAAGGCCCUAGGGUUGUAAAGCACUUUAAUCAGAGAAGAAGCACGUUAAGUUAAUACCUUAAUCUGUUGACGUUACCUGAAGAAUAAGGACCGGCUAACUCCGUGCCA
RNAcentral lists this ribosomal RNA (520 nucleotides) under uncultured bacterium. RNAcentral's name for it is "bacterial SSU rRNA". It matches the Rfam family "Bacterial small subunit ribosomal RNA", at positions 10 to 510 of the family's 1533-position model. The record is from RNAcentral.